Molecule: ribosomal RNA, 439 nt
Filed under: uncultured Eubacteriales bacterium
Lineage: Bacteria; Bacillati; Bacillota; Clostridia; Eubacteriales
Description: bacterial SSU rRNA
Rfam family: Bacterial small subunit ribosomal RNA
Source: RNAcentral
CCUACGGGAGGCAGCAGUCGGGAAUAUUGCACAAUGGAGGAAACUCUGAUGCAGUGACGCCGCGUAUAGGAAGAAGGUCUUAGGAUUGUAAGCUAUUGUCGUGCAAGAAGAAAAUGACUAUUGCAGGAGGAAGCCCUGGCUAAAUAUGUGCCAGCAGCCGCGGUAAUACAUAUGGGGCGAGCGUUAUCCGGAAUUAUUGGGUGUAAAGGGUGCGUAGGCGGAAUAGCAAGUCAGUAUGUGAAAUCUCUCGGCUCAACCGAGAAACUGCGACUGAAACUACUAUUCUUGAGUGUUGGAGGGGAAAGUGGAAUUCCUAGUGUAGCGGUGAAAUGCGUAGAUAUUAGGAGGAACACCAGUGGCGAAGGCGACUUUCUGGACAACAACUGACGCUGAGGCACGAAAGCGUGGGUAGCAAACAGGAUUAGAUACCCGAGUAGUC